Molecule: ribosomal RNA, 198 nt
Filed under: uncultured bacterium
Lineage: Bacteria
Description: partial 16S ribosomal RNA
Rfam family: Bacterial small subunit ribosomal RNA
Source: RNAcentral
ACGCUCGACACCUACGGGAGGCAGCAGUGGGGAAUAUUGCACAAUGGGGGAAACCCUGAUGCAGCGACGCCGCGUGAGUGAAGAAGUAUUUCGGUAUGUAAAGCUCUAUCAGCAGGGAAGAAAAUGACGGUACCUGACUAAGAAGCCCCGGCUAACUACGUGCUAGCAGCCGCGGUAAUCUGAGCGGGCUGGCAAGGC